AGGGAUAUAGCUCAGCUGUUAGAGUGUCUGCCUUGCAAGCAGAAGGCCCUAGGUUCAAUCCCUAGCACUAUUA
RNAcentral lists this transfer RNA (73 nucleotides) under Marmota marmota marmota (Alpine marmot). It matches the Rfam family "tRNA". From Rfam's summary of the family: Transfer RNA (tRNA) molecules are approximately 80 nucleotides in length. Their secondary structure includes four short double-helical elements and three loops (D, anti-codon, and T loops). Lineage: Eukaryota; Metazoa; Chordata; Mammalia; Rodentia; Sciuridae. RNAcentral also lists the same sequence under 1 other name. The record is from Rfam by way of RNAcentral.